Triticum aestivum (bread wheat) is the source of this 124-nucleotide non-coding RNA. Lineage: Eukaryota; Viridiplantae; Streptophyta; Magnoliopsida; Poales; Poaceae. The record is from Rfam.
CGUGUACUCCCUCCGUUCCAUAUUAGUUGUCGCUCAAACAGAUGUAUCUAGUGUAUCUAGCACUGAAAUACGUCUGGAUACAUCCAUUUCUGAGACAACCAAUAUGGAACGGAGGGAGUAGUAU